This 253-nucleotide ribosomal RNA is filed under the name uncultured prokaryote. Its description in RNAcentral is "partial 16S ribosomal RNA". It matches the Rfam family "Bacterial small subunit ribosomal RNA", at positions 524 to 776 of the family's 1533-position model. The record is from RNAcentral.
UACAGAGGGUGCGAGCGUUAAUCGGAAUUACUGGGCGUAAAGGGCGCGUAGGCGGUUAUAUAAGUUAGAUGUGAAAUCCCCGGGCUUAACCUGGGAAUGGCAUUUAAUACUGUAUGACUAGAGUAGAGUAGAGGGAAGUGGAAUUUCCGGUGUAGCGGUGAAAUGCGUAGAUAUCGGAAAGAACACCAGUGGCGAAGGCGAUCACCUGGGGAUGUUCUGACGCUGAGGAGCGAAAGCUAGGGGAGCAAACGGG